GUCAAACCAAGCAAUGGUUCUGAACAAACUGAAAAGACACCUGACAACAAAUCAGCAAGGAUGCAGAGUAUUUUGCUCAUUUGAAAAGUCAACACAAAUGACAAGAGCAAGUGAUGAUAAAGUGUGCAAAAGUGUCAGAGAAAGCACUGGAGGCUAGCUAUUUAGUGGCCGAGACAGUAGCUAAGGCAAAGAAUCCACACACGAUUGCCGAGACAGCUGUUGCCAGCAUGCACAGCAAUUGUCAACAAAAUGCUAUGCACACAAAAAGCAAAUACAAAUUGCAAAGGUUCUGCUGUCGGACUCUACAAUUUGAAGGCGCAUCAAUGACAUGUCUGUAGAUAUUGAAAAAAUCAGAUCUAAUGCAAAAUUUUCCUUACAAGUUGACGAAUCAAUAGACGUGAGUGGGCAAGCUCAGCUCUUGGCAAAUGUUCGAUUUGUGGAAGGGGACCAUACCAGGGAGAAUUUUUUAUUUUGCAAACCGACAGAACAGAACAACCGGAGAGGAGAUUUAUCGUGUGACAACUGUGUAUCUUGAACAGGGACGAUUAAGUUGGAAGAAGUGUGUAAGUGUCUGCACAGACCCUUCGCUGCCAUGAUGGGUAGUGCGAAGGGUUUCAUCAAUAGGGUCAGAGCGCAAAAUGUUAACGUACGAAGCACUAACUGCUUCCUUCACAGGGAGGCACUUGUUGCAAAGACUUUGCCGAAAGAACUUUCAGAUGUACUAGAUAGCGCAGUGGACAUUGUUAAUUUCAUUAAGGCGCGACCUGAGCUGCCUGUUUUCGAUUCUAUACAAGGAAAUGGGAGCAGAACAUUGCUUGUUGCUACACACGGCCGUCUGCUGGCUUUCACGGGGGAAGGUUUUGGGCAGACUGUACGAGUUAAAAGAAGAACACAGAACGUUCCUGAUGGAAGAGAAUUCUGCAUAUGCGGAGUUGAUUGCAUGACAUUUUAGGCAUCUAAAUGAACUGAAUGCUAAAAUGCAAGGCAAAGAUGCAUGGCUUCAGAUCUAAGCUCACACUCUGGCGCUGCUUUGUAGAAGUGGGCAGGCUUGAGAUGUUUCCCUUGUGCAGAGAACAUUCAAACAGCUGCACGCUUUCUAGCCUUAUCUCUCAGCAUCUGAAAUUCUCGACGAGUCUUUCGCACAGUUUGACUGGGUCCUUGACCCUUGGAGUUCAUGUGCACUGGAAAGCUCAAAAAAGACAUGCCACUGCUGGUGCAGGAGAAACUGGCAGAGAUCAGGGAACACCGCACAUUAAAAAUACAAUUUCAAGACACGGCUUUGGAAAGGUUUUGGAUAUCGCUGGAGAAGGGGUACCCAAUAGUUUCAAGUAGCGCAAUUGCAAUCCUGCUACCCUUCUCUACGACGUAUUUGUGCGAACUCAGCUUUUCAAGCCUACCUUACAUCAAGAACAAGUAGGAGCUUCUGACAGGGAGCUUCUGAGGGCUGUGGACCAGAAGCUCUGUGUCUGCCUCUCAUCCAUCCCUGCCAGAAUUGGGGCGGUUGUGUGCAUCGUCUCAGGCUCAGAUUUCCCAUUAAUAAUGAUGCAGGCAGGUUUGAGGAAGGUAUCGAUACAGGUGGACCAAAACGGAAAUUCCUCUCACUUCUGAUGAGAAGCCUGAACGAACGAUCCAUAUUUGAUCCAUGUCUACAAUUCAAGUGCAAUCAGAGAGGAUGAACAUAGUUUGGCAGGGAAGAUGAUUGCUGUGUCCAUAGUACAUGGUGGACCUGGCCAUCCUCUCAGAAGAUCUGGCCAUUUCAGGGCAGUCCAGUUUCAACUCAUCUGUAGGAGACAUUACAGAUGAAGAAAUAGGGAAAGUGCUACAAGAGAUACUCCCGUCUGGUCCAUCUCCUGCAACUAUUCCUCUCCUGCUCGCGUGCGCCCGAGGCAGCGGACCCAGCCCCCACAGACUUUCCCCCAAUCCCGGAUUCCCUGCCUGGACCCCCCUCCCUCUAACCCAGCCUCUAACUCCCAGCAUUUCAUCAAUAAAUCUUG
Molecule: long non-coding RNA, 1994 nt
Organism: Micropterus dolomieu (smallmouth bass)
Lineage: Eukaryota; Metazoa; Chordata; Actinopteri; Centrarchiformes; Centrarchidae
Exons: 4
Source: RefSeq, a predicted model, not a curated record